GGGGCUGUAGCUUAGUUGGUAGAGUGUUUGCCUCAUAUGCACAAGGCCCUGGGUUCUAUCCCCAGCACACACA
This 73-nucleotide transfer RNA is filed under the name Marmota marmota marmota (Alpine marmot). It matches the Rfam family "tRNA". From Rfam's summary of the family: Transfer RNA (tRNA) molecules are approximately 80 nucleotides in length. Their secondary structure includes four short double-helical elements and three loops (D, anti-codon, and T loops). The record is from Rfam by way of RNAcentral. RNAcentral also lists the same sequence under 3 other names. Lineage: Eukaryota; Metazoa; Chordata; Mammalia; Rodentia; Sciuridae.